Long non-coding RNA from Nothoprocta perdicaria, 389 nucleotides. RefSeq lists it as uncharacterized. Lineage: Eukaryota; Metazoa; Chordata; Aves; Tinamiformes; Tinamidae. The record is from RefSeq and is a predicted model, not a curated record. The transcript is spliced from 5 exons.
UCCUGUCUGGUCCUGAUUCUGCUUCUCUUCAGCUGGAUAAGAGUAAUAAAUCAGGCUGAGAAUCAUGCCAGUGAAUCUGGGGAGGACUGGUUCUACCUGACAUCAUGUAUUGUAUGGAAAGGUCCCUGUGGAAGGUAACGGUGCAUAGAGGCUCCCUUUGUUUUGCAACAGAGUUUUCUACACAGCUCUGUCAUCCCCUGGAAUUAACCCAGGACUCACCGGUGUUGUGGGUCAGAAUCUGCUGCUCCUGGUUGUUCUGACUUUGAGCUGCCUGUAAGAAACUCUACAAUGAAGGACUGAACUGCAGCAUGUAACAGUAAGGUGAGUUGAAGCACUGUUUCACGUAGGAGACUUUCCGAAGGAAAAGGAAGAAAUGGAGAGUUGCAGUU